GCAGAGUAGCAUCUAUCAGCAGCUGCUAAUUCAGUGCUGGCUCAGUGAUGCAUCCUACAAUGGGCAGGGUGACGAGACCAAGGAACAGGUCCCUGGGCUUUGCUAAGCAUCGCCAGAUGUCAUCAUUAGGACAUAUCAGCAGUAAGAGUGCUGAUUGUGUUGUACUGGAGAAUCACAGUCAGCUUCUUUUUCCUAAUUAUGAAGGAGGUAUAUAUCUGAAAACAUUUAAAAUAAUAUAUUAGCCAUAUAGAAUGUCAAGGUUAACAUAGUUCCCAGAUCUGAAAGAAAAGGCAAUAUUAACUUGGAUGUUCUGUAUGCUCUCUGAAGAAAGGUCUGGGAAUAGUCAUCAUUUACUAGAUUUAUCAGGAAUGACAUAAGAGGAUGUGAGCUCUUUGGAGCGGGGAGGAGGGCAUCAAUCCAAAGAUAAAAAAGAAAGAAAAAAACGCAAAUGGACUAUUUGCAAAACAAGAGCUAUUUGGUUUGAGGGCAAACUGACCGGUAGGUUGGACAUAUAAAAGGGCCAACUUAAUGAGAAGAGAGAAUUCCAGUUAGACACUGUCGUCUCAUUGUUUUCCCUCUGCCCAUAAUAAAUCCGUUCUUCCCCCAGCUCCAGUCCCCAAAGUGAAUUGUCUAAUCUACUUAAGACUGGAAAUCGAAAUCUAAACUAAAAUAUAUCUUUUGAAAGCUUUUUUUAUGUUUUGAAAAUUCAUAAACUUAAGUUUGGUUCCAUCUGGGAAAUGUUUGCAAGUCAGGGAAGAAAGAAAAUGUCUUGAAGAUCCGGUUAGGAUUUCUGGAAAUAGAAUUUCAACACAUAAUACCCUCAGAUGAGGGAGCUUAGAUACUCUUUGCAUUCAGAGUAGUAACCAUUUGAGAAGUUGCACAGUGCAGUCAUAGACUUGCAGCAAAGCCAUUUGGUGAGGUUUUCUGUGUUAGUGUGAAAGGCUAAGCCAUUGAGAAUAUUUCUGGGGAAACAUUCUGAGUGACCCUGCUCAUUCCUUAUAUGUAAGUGAGCAGGAGGAGUAAGGCAUUGUGUGCAUUUCUGCUCAUUUUGCUCAAGGUUUACAUGUCAUGGCACCAAAGUCCAUAGGGUUUCUAAUAUCUUCUGAGUCUUGAUGUGAAAUGAAAGUGUAUGGGGGUUUCCUUUGACCAUCACUGGCCCCAAGAGCAAGCGCCCUUAAGCCGCUUGCAUAUUGUACUUUAUCAGCUCUCCUAUCAAGAGUGACCAGGUUGUUGUUCAAUUAAGUAUGUUUGUGGGAUUUUCAAGCCACAAUGAAGUGCUUUUUAUAAAUGGGACAGUCUUGACAAAUAGGUAUUUUGUAUUAAGAUGCUAAAAUGUGGCAAAUUAUUUUCAAAUGAUAACUGAAAAUGGGCAUUUUUGUUAUUUCACAUCUUUUAAAGAACAGCUGACUUUACAUUUCUUUUUCAUUUUGAAUUAGGAAAAUUGUUAAGAAUGGGGUGCGUUACCAUGUGUAGAGUGGAAAGGAGCUGAGAGGAGUGUCUCAUUCCCACGGACACUUUCUGUGCCCUCACACACAGGGCUUAGACGUCUUCUCCACAUUCCACACAGACGCCUAUAAGCGGCCAAUUGCUGUCUGAAAAUUCUUCCUCCUUGUUUCCUAACACUUCUCCCCUCCCUCUCCCCCCCCCAAAAAAAAGGAAAGGAAAGGAACGAAAGGAAAAGAAAAGGCUCAGUUACUCUUUUAGGGGAAAAGGUGACUGAACCAAAGCAUAUUCUGGUUUUAAAAGUGAAUCUACAUUUCAUGGGAUACAUAGAUAUGCUGUUUGCAGAUGAUUGCUUGCUCUCCAAUGAACAUUUGAUUGUAUUCAACAAAAAUCGACCACAUGAACUGUCAUCCUUGAAUUGCCACAAAAUAGAUUGGUUGAAACUUGAAGGAUAUAAGCGAGAAAUACUUCAUUUUAUUGUAAGAUUAAGCAUUCUGGUAGAUUUCUGAGUCCUAUAAGUACUGAGUUUUGUAAUAGCAUUACCUCCAUGCCAUUGACAUAAAUGCAAAAGUUUUUGAGUCCCUCUUUAUCCCAGUUACAUAUACCGUCUUGGGACCUGAUUGUUUUAUUACCUCUUCCAAAGUGAUAGAAGUUUCUUAUGAAUAGACAAAAGGUCUUUGGUACCCUAGAGAAAUUUUUGAUACUGCAAACUUGGUUUAUUAUAUAUUAAUUCAUGUAUUGUUUCAUCUAAUAAGCAUUUAUUAAUGUAUAGUUCUCACAGACAUUGUGAAGCGUCCAAAAAAAAAA
This 2250-nucleotide long non-coding RNA is filed under the name Sus scrofa (pig). RNAcentral's name for it is "lncRNA (ENSSSCG00005015544.1)". The record is from RNAcentral. Lineage: Eukaryota; Metazoa; Chordata; Mammalia; Artiodactyla; Suidae.